AAGAAAAAUCACGUUUUUUACUCCUUUCUUCAUUUCUUUCCGAAUAGUUAUUGUUAUUAUUUUUUAUAAGAAGUUUGUUGGUGGGACGGAUUGUUAUUGGCGCCUUGUUAAGUCACACCCCGAACGGUAAGGUUAACUGACCGAAAGGAACAUGAAUAUUAAACAGGUCAUGUGAUCGAGUCUGUUGCUGACAUAAUUCAUCUGCCUCACAAGUGUUAUUAAAUCUACCGACAGCUGCUAAGGCAGCAACAAGCGGUUUUCUCGCUUCGCUGUAUAUCCUAGUGAGUAUAUAUUUUUGUUUACUUCAUUCAUUACAAAUACAUUCACACGACUUUACAUAUUUAUAAGAAGGAGUCGGGAUGUUGUAACAUCCUAUAUGUCUCAUAGCGUUUUACCGAAUCAAUGUGGAACUCGAAAUCGAAACCAGGACGCGAACUCUGUUCGUGUGGAUCUUACCUCUGCAACUGCGAUAUUCACACGCAGAUUUCCAUUAUUGAAAAGAUAUGAGUUUAAGAUGAGUAAGUGUAUACAUGCAUUUCCACGUACGUACGUAUACACGCACAACUACGCAUCUUGUAUAUUAUUCUGAUUUGUGUGUAUAUAUCUAUAUACUCACGUACACACACACAUAAAUUCAUUAAAGAGUAACAUUUAAGAUCGAGGUGUCUAUCAAAGUGAAGCACACCGCAUUAAUGGCUAUACGGUAAAACACAAAUCAACAGGUAAACAAUCCAGUGUCUCCACUGGUGUUUGGUAAUCCGCAACUUUGAGCUAACUUCAGCGUGGAGUAAAAUAACAAUAAAAACAAACCAAUUGAUCAUACUGUAUCACUGCAAUCGAUUCGUUCACAGAUUUUGUAUUGUAACACCGUACGAAUAUGUGUGAAGCGAAACAUCUCUGUGUUGUAGUAUCUUAUAAAUGUUGUACUUCUUGCAUACCUGCCUGUAAGGUGUUAGUUGCACAGCAAUGAAAUUUCUAAAUGAAACUAUUGUAGCGAUACCGUAUUAUUUAUUCGAUCGUUUUUAAUGUGAUUAUAUAUAUAUACAUACGUAUCUCUCUCUCUCUCUCUCUCUAUAUAUAUAUAUAUAUAUAUACAGACACACAUACACAUAUCUCUCUCUCUCUUUAUCUAUCUAUCCAUCUAUCUAUCUUAUCUAUCUAUCUAUCUAUCUAUCUAUCUAUCUAUCUAUCUAUCUAUCUAUCUAUCUAUCUUAUCCAUCUAUCUAUCUUAUCUAUCUAUCUAUCUAUCUAUCUAUCUAUCUAUCUAUCUAUCUAUCUAUCUAUCUAUCAAACUACAUGCACACACACACACAUACAUACACACCAUUGUUUGUAUCUUAUUUGUUUUGUUUUUUGUUGUUUUUUUGUUUUGCUUUUUGUAGUAAAGUGAUUUAUAGUUUUGAAAACAACUAUAAUUGAGGAGCGACUCGCUCUGAAUUAAUCUGGUCCGCGCGAAUGUUUACAUAAACUGCCAAAACUAACAACGGAUUUCUGAAACUCUCAUUGGUCGCUUCCUUUGAUUCCGACAGUCUUAUUUCUUCUGGUCUGGUUCAGGAAGUUGACAUUAUUUUUUGCACUAAAUGCCGUCUCAAGGAACGGGUACAUUGUCCACGAGCCUCACCGGUCUAGAGGCUCAAUGCUAAUCUUAUGUAUGCAGUGUUUUGCUAUCAAUAAACAAAUACUACAAAGCCAGAGUGCACGGCUUUGUUCGCGGGUUUUAUAAUGUUAUUUAGACGGUUCUGUUUGUACUCGUACCACCUUAGAUGGGGGUUCAUCACUUUCACAGACUUUCUCUUACUUGUUUUAGUCAUUAGACUGCGGCCAUGCUAGAGCAUCGCAAAUAACUGUCUUGUCUAACUGGUCUUUUGUGAGGUUGGUGUUUUCAAGUCCGCAUUCAUUUUUACGGGUUGUGCACCGCUUAGUCUGCCUAUAAGGCACUGGAGAACCUCGAAUGAUGUAGGCCCUUACAAAGCAGAGAAGUAGUCGCGAAAAAAAGAAGAAAAAAAGAGAAUCGGAUAUCAAAACGGCUAAUAGUAUUACUUCACAUUGACUGCUUCAUCUCCUUAACUAUUUCCCCCUCUUCCAUCGGCCCCUCUUCCUUGCACCAGGUACAAUAAGGCUGAGCUCACUGCGUGAAGGAAGAAUGAAAUUCUUAAUGUUGAAAGAGCUUGAAAAAAUCAGUUUGUCUUUUGGUGGGUGCGCCUUAGCAAACUGAUGACCUGCUGUUUAAGUGAUGGGAAAUGUUGGUGGAUAUCAAAUCACACACACACACCCUUUAUCAGUCAACGGAUUGCAGCCAAGCUGGUGCAGUCCUUGAAGGGUUUAGUCGCACAAACCCACCCUAGUACUCAUCUCUUUAAAAUAAGUCUGGCACUUAUUAUAUCGGUCUCUUUUGCCUAAACCGUAAGUUUACGGGGUUGUCAAGCGCUGGGGAGGGACUUACACACACACAUAUAUAUAUAUUAUAAUAAGAGAUACGAUGGUCUUUCACACAGUUUCCAUCAACCAAAUUCAUUAGUUGGGUAGAAACAAUGUGGUUGCAAGGCGAGCUUCUUAAUCACGCAUCCAUGUGUGUGUUUGUGUACAAAUACACACACACACACACACACACACACACACACACACACACACAUCUAUAUAUGUACACGCAGAAACACUCAUCAACGCUUAUCAUAUGUUUCGUUUUGUAAAAGAAAAAGUAACGUGUUUAUGGCAAAAUAGAAUAAAUAAGUAAAUAAGUAAAUAUUGAGAUCCAGUUCAGUGUGAAAUGCCCUCGCUCGUGUGAAUGUUUACAUAAGCUGCCAAAACCAACAACAGAUUUCCUAAAAUCUCAUUGGUUACUUUCUCUGAUUCCGAUGAACUUCUUAGGUUUUCUUUUUUCAUUUCUUCCUCUUCUCAUCGUGUCUAAUAUUCUUAUGUGAAGACAUGGAAUGAAGUGAAAGUUGACACAGAAUAUCUCGCAGAAUUAAGUGGCUUCCUCUUUUGGUUGGUAUGUGAAUGUUUGGAAAAUACGCACAAACACCUACAUACAUACACACACACACGUGAGGGAGCAGGUACGAGGAGUCACCUAUAUUUCUAAGAGCAUUACAGGUGCAAAACCAAUGGUUAGUUCUUGACCAGCCAUAACCAACGGCUAUAUUAUAUAUAUGUACACACAUAUAAUAGGUGCAGGCGCGACUGUGUGGUAGAAGCUUGCUUCCCAACAACAUGGUUUCGGGUUCAAUCGAAGGAGAGGAGCUGCCAGACGAGAUGGUGAAGAUGCCGACGACCGCUUUGUUCAAAGCCUCCCUGGACCUCAAGUGGCCUGAACUCUUUACAUGAACACCACCCUGUACUUAACUCCAUGUCCCCCUACAUGGCCUUGCUAUUUGCUUUUGAGCCAAAUUAACUAACUAACUAACUAACUAACUAACUAACUAACUUUGGGCAAGUGGCUUCUACUAUAGCUAGGGCCGACCAAAGCCUUGUGAGUGAAUUUGGUUGACAGAAACUGAAAAAAGAGAUCUUUUCGGUUUGAACGGCAGUUUUUAACAUAAUUUCUAGGUAACUAAAAAAUUUAAAACUUCGUAUACUGGUAGAAUGUGUUUAUAAAACAUCUUUUUCUCUUGGCUUUAUUGAGAAAAUUCUAUAGUUUGUAAGAUAUUUGUUGUUUUUUUUCUUCAAUUUCUGCAAUUUCAACCAAUCGCUGACGUCUAUUGAGGUAAAAAACAUUCUGUGCCGAAUGAAUAUGUCCAUGUUUAGGAAACAGAUUGGGUUUAUUUACAUUUGUGAAGAAAAAAAAAAGAUACCCUUCCCCCCACCCCUAACCCUAACCCUAAAAGAUAUUGAAAUGCAAUAGAUCGAUACUAGGGUCAUAAUUAUGGGUGACAAUUUCAUAUGGCACCACUAGAAAAAACUGCUGUUCAAACCGAAAAGUUCCGAAAAAAGUCCAUCGUAUGUAUAUGUUUGUCUCCCCACCAUCGCUUGACAAUCGAUGUUGGUGUGUUUACGUACCCACUACUUAGUGGUUCGGCAAAAGAGACCAAUAGAAGAAGUACUAGGCUUGCAAAGAAUAAGUCCUAGGGGCGAUUUGUUUGACUAAAUGACUGAAACAAGUAAAAGAAUAUAUAUAUAUAUAUAUAUAUAUAUAUAUAUAUAUAUAUAAAGUUAAUCCAAACAUGAAAACACAAAGAGAAAACACAACACGAGGACAUGGAACAAAUAUAGUAUUAUUGGACGCUCAGGAAGGAAGGGAAGAAGGAGGGUUUUACGUUUCGAGUGGAGCUCUUUGUCAGAAACAUAGGACAAGGUAAGAUCCAGAGAAGAGAAGACGGAGGAGAAAAAAUCGCCAACAGUACACACGUGGUCACAUUUUGAAUGACGUAUAUAUAUAUAUAUAUAUAUAUAUAUAUAUAUAUAUAUAUAUAUGGAGAUGUACUUGCAUAGCAAGUGACCUGAUCUGAGAUAGUGUGCUGAAACGAAAACAAUUGCAGCGUGGAAGGUGUUUAUAAGCCAUUUAAGAAACACACAAAAACCGUUAGAUUCACUUCAUCAUUUAAAUUUAAUUUGCCAAAAUAUUUUCGUCGCUUUGAGACCGCGACAUGUUCACUAACAAAAUUAAAUCUAAAUGGCAAAUUAGAUUUAAAUGAUGAAGUGAAUCUAAUGGUUUUUGUGUGUUUCUUAAAUGGCUUAUAAACACCUUCCAUGCUACAAUUGUUUAUAUAUAUAUAUAUAUAUAUAUAUAUAUAUAUAUAUAUAUAUAUAUAUGUGUGUGUGUAUGUGUUUCUUAAAUGGCUUAUAAACACAUUCCCCGCUGCAAUUGUUUAUAUAUAUAUAUAUAUAUAUAUAUAUAUAUAUAUAUAUAUAUAUAUAUACAUAUACAUACAUACAUACAUACAUACAUACAUAGGUGCACACACAUACACACAGAAAUAUAUGCAUAUUUUAUAGAUAUACACAAUAUUAAUAAUUGUACAUAGUUUUAUCUGAUUGAAUGAAUAAAUGAAAUUAAAGCAUUAGCCUGAUAGAAUAGAGUUAUAUUAUUUCAUAGGAUUAUUUCAUCAGAUUAUUUUGUUAUAUAUAUUUAUAAAGAUAGGAUGAUUAUACUGAAGAAUGAAGGAUAAAAUAAAGUUGAAUGAAAUUUACAGCUUGACUGUAGUAGCUUGGCAAAUGGUAAUUUUUUUUUCUUUUAGAGGCUGCUGGCUGAGAAAAUCUAUUGCAUCAGUCCUCAAAAUAAUGCUGGUAUUCGUUUUAUCAACCCAGCAGGGAUGAAGCAAAGUUGAUCGGUUCAGGUUUUGAUGACAUUGAACAUAUAAUGCUAAUUUCGCAAUUAAACAUGUUUUGAUGAAAGGGUAUGAGGAGUAAUGACACUUACCCCUGCCUAAUAAGUCUAAUAAUGCAAAGUAAAUGAACUAGUUCAAACUGGGAAUUCAGAUAUGCUCACCAAUAACUUACUGUCACCUUUUUAAUGAAAGGAGUGAAUGGGCCUAAUUUUGUAAAGUAAAAAGACUAUGAAGUGAGAGCAAUUGAAUUGAUAUUUUUAUUUACAUGGGUGGGCUGGUUAACUUGUUGAAACAAAUGUUUUUGCAGCUAAAUACUCUUCCUACUGUGAAGUACAGACGACUUGUUCUGGGACCCAACACAAUGGCAGUAAUAACAGACCAUAUGCUCUGUUAAAGUAAUGGACCACUGACCAAUGUUAUAAAACCAGGUCUUAUUACAGUUAUAGUAGGAAGUAUCAAAGUGAAAAAUAUUUUAUUUUGCUUGCUCCAGUUUACCUGAAAAUGUACACAAUUACGUGUAAAACAGGUUUUUUUUUAAAAUCAACUGUUUCCUUUUUCUUACAAAAUAGUUCUUGAAGAAAAUUGACUGAUACAGUUUGUAGGUAUCAACUAAUUUAUUGACCCCCUUUUUAGUCAAUAUUUUAGUAUUUCUCGUCUAUGCUGCACUGAGUCCUGAACCAAGACUAAACUCUUUUUAAAUUGACCUGUUUAACUGUGUGUAGUUCAAGGUUACUAUUGUAACAAACAUAAAUAUACACAGGGUACAAAUGAAUGUUUAAAAUUUUAUAUUGUAAAACUCUAAUUUAUAUCAACUUCACUUUACAAUUCAAAAUGUGCAACUGAUUAAAACCAACAUAUAUCUCUAAAACAUUUAAUUCAAUGGCAAUUAUAUGAAGAGACAUUCAGCAACAACAUAUUUGAAUUUUUGAAAAUAUAGGGAAAAACACUUUAAAAAAAGUGUUUGAAAUGAAAUUAAAGAAAAGGUACAUAUCGUAAUUAAUGUCAAAACAAACAUUUUAUUUUUUCAUGUCACUAUGGUUAUCAACGAGCAAAAGCAGAUAAAGCCCAUACAAUAUAAUAAUUUGAGAGUGUAUUCAUGAAAUGUCAAAUGUUUUUAAACUGAGCUAAGAUAGGUUAAAAGGAACUGCACAUUUUCUCUUCAAAUAGAUGAACUUUGCUAGUUGAGUAGUUUUGCUUGUGUUGGUACACUAAACUUAUGAAUGUAGUGCUGAAGAAAACUUAUCAAUCUCUCAGCUAUGAGGAAAGUAAUAUUUAAUUUAAUUAAUCUAUUGUAGAAAUAUAAAAUUUCCGAAUAACUGUUCAAAUAUUUGGGUAUGGGAAAUUUCUGAUCCUGUUGCAAAAAUUAAAAAGUAAAAUGUUUGAUGCUGUUAAACGAGUUGAUUUUUAAUACAUCAAAGCCACUAAAGGCAACAAUCUUCCAUCUAUGUUCAAGAUAUGGUAAGCCUGCAUCCUUAUCUCUAUAUACUCUAGUUAUUGCUGAUAAGUGUUGGCACAGUUUUAUGAAGUAUUUGAAGAACUUGGGUUAUUUCUAAGAAAACCUUUUUAGACUUUCAACUAAACUAAAAGAUUGAUUUGAAAGGGAGAAAAUGAUAUAACUUUUUGAUAGGAUACCAAUACAACAUGGUGCAAAGUACAAAAUAUAAUUAAUCAACUUAAGUGUAAACAAAAACUGUUGUAGUGAGUUUGUAGCUAUGGUUGAUAUUUAAUGUUUUGAAAACUUUAAACAUACCACUUCCACAGUGCAUUCAUAAAAUGUCUAAUUUUUAUGAAACUGAGCUAAGACAUGUUAUAUAUGAGCUCAGCAUUCUCUCUUCAAAUAGAUGAGUCAACAGGCUAAGUCAGGAUACAACAGGCUUAAUUUUGCAACAAUUGUGUUGUGUGUGUGUGUGUGAAUCAGUAACAGGUAAUUGUCUGAUUGAAAUUGAAUAUAAUUUCAAAUAGGUUUACAAUUUUGGUUAAACUUAAGCAAAAAGACAUCACAACAAAUUUUACCUUAAAAUCAAAAAUCCAACUAGUAGAAAUUACAAAAAUUUGGUUCGCAUUAUUAAUGAACUGUCAACCAUAAAUGCAAAAACUUAAACAGUAUUAAUGUGAUUUCUAACUUCAUAUUUAUGUGAAGGAACAUUUUCGCUGUAUUCAAAGACAAAAAUAAAUUUAGGGAAACUGAUUUAAGGUUGCAAGUAACAUCUAUAAUUCCAACAUCGGGACUCUCUGUGAUGAGAAACAGGCUUAAUGAAGUUACUAACUUUUAUCUUAAUUGCAAAGUUUAAUUUUUCAAACCAUUUAGGUAAGCAAAGUUACUAAUUUAUAUUGGCACAGUGUUAUUUUAAAGCUUAUUUACUGCAUGACAAUAUUUUUUAGAGCUAUUUUAGGUUCUAAAAAUUUUCUAAUCUUCAAGAUUACAUAAAUAUAAAAAGUUUGAAAAACCUCAACACAGACUACUGAAAGUAGAGAUAGCUAGGUGGAUAGAGCAUUAGAUAACCAACAAAGAGGUUCAUAUCCUGUUCUGGCAAUUCAGUGUGUUUGUGGUUAGAAGACAUAACUCUGAAAUUAUUCAGUAUACUAAACUGAAAAUUAUUACUCUACAGGUAGGAACAUGUCACAAGUUUAAAUAACAACAGUAGUUUUUUAUAGUUGCAAUGUUGAAUUCAGUUUUAUCAGUUUUUUUUUUUUAUAUAUAUUGUAAGUUAAGAGGAAGUGCUCUAGACAAAUGAUUUCAUCUUGAAUUUCCUGAUAGAUAACUACAGGGAAGAUUUGAGCAAAAUAUUUAAUUAAGAGUUUUCUGGGGUGAGACACAUAAAGAUGAUGAAAGAAGAACAUGAGCCAAUGUAGCAGUAGAAGAGAUAAAAGGAGAACACAGUGUAGCAAUAUCAUAAUGAUUAUUUGUAUAUACACCAACAUUUUUUUCAUUUGCUCGACAAUUAGAAUGCUGGUCAAUAUAGCAACUACUUGUUUCAGAUGCAUGAGCAGUGUGUAGUGCGUGGUAUACAUGUAGUCUAUAUAAAGUUAACAAGUGUUCAGAAUUGAAGUAAUUUCUAGCUCUGGAGAGAAAGCAAUUUUAGUUCUUUUACAAAUGAUGCCACCAUGGGAGGCUUAAAUUUUGCAAACUAGUGAAAGUUUUACUUGCAAAUUGUUUGUAUGUAUGUGUGCAUGCAUGCAUGGAUGUACACCUGCAUGUGUGUAUGUGUGUCUGUACAUGUAUGUAUGUAAUUAUACACACAGGCAUACUACCUUGGAUCUAGAUGAACCAUCCAAGCCAUGCUAGCAUGACAAACAGACUGAACCACUCCAUCAUCGUCACCACUUUAUUCCUCUCCCCUUCUUUUUCAUGCUUAUCCCUGACAUUACUCUUCCCCUUUCUCUCUCCAUUACUCCCACCCAACCAUUCUCCCUUCUUUAUUCUUUCCUCACAAUAAAUCUGCUCCAUCCAUAAUGCUUGGCAGAGUGGUGGAGGCUUUCUUUUUCAUUGCAUGCUGCUAAGUAAAAUGCUGGUGUGACAAAACAUAGCCAGUGCACUUUGUGUAAGUGGAGGGUAAUUGAUUCAAGCAGUAACAAUGCAAGGCUUGAGAAGGGUCUUUAGUCUUAGUAGCAGCAAAGCAACCUCUAUAGAGCUGGUACUACAAAAAAGAAAAAGCAUCUGGUACACUCUGAUUGGUAUUAGGAAGGGCAUCAGCCUGUAGAAAUUGUCAAAAAUGAGACACUGAAGCAAGAUGGGACAUUAAGACUUGUUGGAUCCUGUGUAAGCAUUCAGCCUCUGCAUGGAAAUUGGACAUAAACUGAUGAGGACUUACAUCUAUUCAUUUAUUUAUUUUACAUCCAUUUUUCUAUGCUACUGUAAAUUAGAUGAAUAUAUUAUUGAAGCAUUGUUUUACAGACAAAUGCUGUCCCAGUUGCUAACCCUUACCUAUUUUUCAAGCAAAGGCAUGAAGUGAUUGCAUAAGUUAUUGAGAGGAAAAGUGCCAACAACAACACUACUCAAACUUGUAACUUUUGAAUAAGCUGUUACAGUUGCAAACAAACAUGCAGACAUACAACUACACACACACACACACACACACACGUGUAUGUAUCGAUAUUACAUAUACAGGACAUAAAAUGUCUUUAAUUCAAAACAGAUCCAGAAAUUAAUGCAAGCAUUUGUCAGCAUUUCUGUGAACUGGUGGAAUGUUAAGGCAUUCAAGAAAAUGUCUUGCAGUCUUUAGUCACAUCCCUUUACAUACUGAAUUCAAAUCCUGCUGAAGCAACUUGCUUUUCCUCCUUUCAUAGUCAAUCAAAUAAGUAUUGUCAAUCAGUCAAUCAAUUUGACUGUUCCUCCACACAAAAUUUCUAACCAAGCACCAGUGUUACAAAUUGAUAUUUAUGAUCUUUUGAUGUGGUUAUUAUUAUUUUUAUUCCUUUCUAUUAUAAGCACAAGGUCUGAAAUUUGGUCUAGUCCAUUAUACUGAUCCCAGUGCUUGGCUAGUACUUAUUUUAUCAACCCCCAAAAAGAUGAAAGGCAAAAUCAAUCAUGGCAGAAUUUGAAAUCAGAAUGUAAAGACACAUGAAAUGCUACUAAGCAUUUUACCCAGUGUGCUAAUAAUUUUGUCAGCUCACCAUUUGGCUUUUAUAAUAAAUAUUAACAAUUAACAUAUUACAAACAUUAUAAGCUUUGAUAAGAUAAUAAUUAACAUUUGUAUAUUGGUUAUGAUUGUACAAACAACAUUUUCCUUUCUUGUCUCCCAGAUAUACACUCCCAAAAACUCAUGUAUAGAUAUCAAGUUUAUUUGUCAUUUUGUCAAAAUAUAAUUUAGAAUUAGUCAAGCAGACUAGAAAAGAGAGUAAAAAUAUGUUACUGUAACUGCAAUUUCUUAUUUUAUCUCUGGAAUGAAAGUAAAUAUUUAAGCAAGAAAAGAUAUCAAUUGGACAAUAUUUGCCAUUGAUUUACAGUUUAGAUUUUUUUUAAUGUGUGUUUUUCUUUGUAAAUAUUCCUAUGUCUAAUAAAAGGAUAAAAAAAAAUAAAAGAACAGUUUUUUACAGAUGUAGAAAAUUUCCCAAAAUUUUGAUGAGCUCAUUUGCUUUUGCACAACUUAGUAAACUGGAUACACAUUUAUUGAUUUUGUAGUCCCUGUAAGACAGUAAUGUUAUAAUUUUUUUUGAUAACAAAAAAUUUGGUUUUUGAAGUGUGUUUUUCUUUGCAAAUAUUCCUAUUUCUAUUAAAAAGGAUUUUAAAAAAAUUAAAGAACAGUCUUUUACAGAUGUAAAAAAAUUUUCGUUCCAUGGUGUCAUUUCAAUUAAAGUAAAGGGUCUUAUUGAAAUCAAUAUACAAUACUUGGGGCCUGCAGUUUAUUAGUUUUGAAUCUUCCCAAACGAUGAAUCAUAUUUCAAUUAUGUCACUGAGAGUACUGGAGCACUCAGCUAACAGUUGCAAAAGUAAUAAAUAAAUAAAACAUACAGGAUUUGUAUCCAUAUGUAUAAAACUGAGAAUGUGUGUGUGAGUGCAUGUGUAUGUAUGCAUCACUAGAACUCAAGAACUAACCAACUGAUUUCAUUCAAGGUUUACACAUGCAUUACUUAGGCUCCAUGGAGUGUCAUGGGCAAAAAAAAAAUGUUCAACUUCUUGCCUAAUGUGAGCCCAGAUAAAAUCUCUUAGACUGUUUCAGUAUUAUGUGUCAAAGCAGAAACAAUGACAUCUCUAUUGUAACGUGAUAUAAAAGUUUCACAUUUAGAAAUUCAAUAUUUCUAAUUUCGGUGAUCAGUAAAUAAAUUUUACUGAUAAUAUGAUAUAUUUGCAAAGGGGUUGCAGUCAUCUCAGCGAGCGAGACUGGCUGCCCUGGACCGACAACGAGCAAUAGACUCAGAAACAUAAGUCUUCAGGUGCUUAGUCCAAGCUGGCGGGGGUGAUUGCCUCCCCUUUGCAAAUAUAAGGACACAGAAAAUAUGUCAAAGCUGACAGGAGACGUCGAUGUUUCCUAGGGUUAAAUGGCAGUGGUGUAAUUCCCUUACAAGACUGUCACAUUGAGUUGACAGUAUACGACCACUAUAUAUAUAUAUAUAUAUAUAUAUAUAUAUAUAUAUAUAUAUAUAUAUGUAUGUAUAUAUAUAUAUAUGUAUAUAUAUGUAUAAAUGUGUGUGUGUGUGUGUAUAUAUAUAUAUAUGUAUUAUAUAUGUAUAUAUAUAUCUAUAUAUAUAUGUAUAUAUAUAUAUAUAUAUAUAUAUAUAUAUAUAUAUAUUUAUAUGUAUAUAUAUGCAUGUAUAUAUAUAUGCAUAUAUAUAUACAUAUAUGUAUAUAUAUAUGCAUAUAUAUAUACAUGCAUAUAUAUACAUACACACAUGUGUAUAUACACAUGAGUAUAUAUAUUUAUGUAUAAAUAUAUAAAUAAUGAUAUAUCAUCAUCAUCAUUUAAUGUCCAUUCUCCAUGCUAGCAUGGGUUGGACUGUUCGACAGGGGAUCUGGGAAGCCAGAAGGCUGCCCCAGGCUCCAGUCUGAUCUGGCAGUGUUUCUACAGCUGGAUGCCCUUCCUAACGCCAACCACUCCGAGAGUGUAGUGGGUGCUUUUUACGUGCCAGGUGAGGCUGGCAACGGCCACGAUUGGAUUGGUGCUUUUUACGUGCCACCGGCACAGAAGCCAGUCUAGGUGCCGCUGGCAUUGGCCACGUUUGGAUGGUACUUUUUACAUGCCAGUGGCACGGAAGCCAGUCUAGGCGGCGCUGGCAUCGGCCACGUUCAGAUGGUGCUUUUUAUGUGCCACCGGCACAGGGACCACAACUGCAGUUUCCAUUGAUCUUUGAUGUUGGUGUCCUUGACUCAAUGGAUCUCUUCAAGCACAGGGUCAAAACAGUGUUUCUUUACUUGCCACCUGCACAGGAGUCAGUCCAGCAGCCCUGGAAACUGCCGGGUGCCAGUCAUAGGAUUGUCUCAACAGGUCUUCGUGUGUCCAAGGAAGGAAAGGCAUGCAUAAGUGGGCUGGCUACAUCCCUGGCAAGGGACACAGGAUGGACUCACUUGUUCUGCCGGGUCUUCUCACGUACAGCAUAUUUCCAAAGGUCUCGGGCACUAGUCAUUGCCUCGGUGAGGCCUAAUGUUCGAAGGUCGUGCUUCACCACCUCGUCCCAGGUUUUCCUGGGUCUGCCUCUUCCACGGGUUCCCUCAACUGCUAGGGAUUGGCACUUUUUCACACACCUAUCUUCAUCCAUUCUUGCCACAUGACCAUACCAGUAUAGCCCUCUCUCUUGCACACCACAACUGAUGCUUCUUAGGUCCAACUUCUCUCUCAAGGUACUUACACUCUGUCGAAUAUGAACACUGACAUUACACAUCCAUCGGAGCAUACUGGCUUCAUUCCUCAUGAUGUUACGCAUGUCCUCAGCAGUCAGGCCCAUGUUUCACUGCCAUGUAGCAUGGCUGUUUGUACACAUGCAUCAUACAGUCUGCCUUUUACUCUGAGCGAGAGGCCUUUUGUCACCAGCAGGGGUAAGAGCUCUCUGAACUUUGCCCAGGCUAUUCUUACUCUAGCAGUUACACUUUCAGCACACCCACCCCCGCUACUGACUUGGUCACCUAGGUAACGGAAGCUAUCAACUACUUCUAGUUUUUCCCCCUGGAAAGUGACGGAAGAUGUUUUCUGCAGAUUUUCAGUGUUUAUUGCUCCUGAGCAUCUGCCUCAUACAAUAACUAUCUUCCCAGUUCGCCUUCCUUUGACAUUGCUGCACCUCUUAAGUGUCCAUAGCUUACACUGGGUACAUCUUAUAGAGUUUCUACCUACGCCUUUUCUAUAGAUCGAGCAGGUGUUUGUGGUUUGUCUACCUUCCUACUUAUUAGGACUUUUGUUUUAGUUAGGUUGGUUUGUCUACCUUCCUACUUAUUAGGACUUUUGUUUUAGUUAGGUUGACUCUAAGACCCUUCGAUUCUAAUCCUUCCUUCCACACCUGAAACUUCUCCUCCUGUUCUGAUAGUGACUCAGCAAUUAGAGCAAGAUCGUCAGCGUAGAGGAGCUCCCAGAGACAUCCUGUCUUGAAUUCCUCUGUAAUUGCCUGGAGGACUAUGAUAAAUAGGAGGGGGCUGAGGACUGAACCCUGGUGGACCCCAACCUCUACCUUGAAUUCUUCAGUGUACAUGUUGCCAACCCUUACCUUACUUACAGCGUACCUGUACAUGGCUUGCACAGCUCUCACUAGCCAUUCAUCUAUCCCUAAUUUCCUCAUUGACCACCAGAUAAGGGAUCGGGGGACCCUGUCAAAGGCUUUCUCCAUGUCAACAAAAGCCAGGUACAGGGGCUUAUCUUUGGCUAGGUAUUUUUCCUGCAGCUGUCUCACCAGGAAUAUGGCAUCAGUGGUGCUUUUCCCUGGCACGAACCCAAACUGCAUCUCGUCCAAGUUGACUCUCUCCCUAAUCAAUUGGGCUAUGACCCUCUCCGUAACCUUCAUUACCUGAUCCAACAGCUUCAUACCUCUGUAAUUAUUUGUAUCUAGGGCGUCACCUUUACCUUUGUUGACUAUUAUGUCACCUUUACCAGUUGACUAUUAUGCUGCUACACCAGUCAUUGGGUAUGACUCCUUCGUGUAUCACCUGGUUAACUAUACAAGUGACUAGGCUAUAGCUGACACUGCUAGAUAUUUUGAGCAUCUCUGCAGUAAUUCCUGAUGGGCCUGGGGCUUUCCCUAUCUUCAUGCUUCUAAUUGCCUUUACUACCAAAGAAUAUAUAUAUAUUUAUGCUUAAAUAUUGCUUAACCAUAUUCUCGCACCAUCUCCGAUGACAGGACAUAUAAAAUAUCCCGGAAGCAGCUGUAAGACCUUCUCUUUAUAAAUGUUCAGGAAUCUUUCACAGCCUUGGAUUUUUAUCUCAUUCUGUUAAUUUAUAUAUAUAUAUAGGGAGAUUUUACGAAAAAAACAAAGGACAAAGAGAGGUGGUGUAUUAGUAUAACGCUCAAGAAUAGAAAAAAUAUAUAUAUAUAUAUAUAUAUAUAUAUAUAUAUAUAUAUAUAUAUAUAUAUAUAUAUACACAUAUAUAAUUGCUAAAUAGGAUAGUAAACAUUAAGGCAAGGCAAGUAUCUCAAGUUGUAUACAAUAUCAUUGUUGGAAGAAAUUCAAAACCUUACAGCUGUUUCUGGGAUAUCCCUGAGUAUGUGAUAUUCCGUUUUCAGAGACAAAUAGGGAAAAUGAGAAUGGUAUACAUUAAUAAAAUGAUGUUGUAGCACUUACCUAGCACUCCUAAUUGUUUAGAUCACCUGUGAACUAAACCCCCAUACUUUGUAUAUAUAUAUACACACACACAUAUAUACAUAUAUAUAUGUAUAUAUAUAUAAUAAAAAUAAAUUCAUUAAUUAAUUCAUAAAAAUGUAUAAAUUUUGAUUGAUUUUUGUUUCUUCCUUUCUUUUUUCUUCAACAGAGCUGCUGUAAAACAUCAAUAUGAAGCUUGAAUAUUUCUAUGAUAAAAAACUUAUUCCACUUUCUGACAAAAACAAAUUAACCAAAUGUAACCAAAUCACUACUCGGGUAAUCUUUAUCUUCAUCCUCUUUGCUGGAUUAUCACAAAUUGGUCUUGGAAUAGGACUCUUACUCUCAUGCCGCAGCAAUCUAGAAAAUAUAUCCUGUGCCUUCUCUUUAAAGGCCCAUCCAUGCACUGGAUUAGUGAUACCAACCUACCUUGGUUGUUUGGUUAUUUGUAUUGCUCUAUUUGGAUUUGGAUUUCUUGGACGCCGAGCUACUGCUAUCUUACUAGCUAUUGCUAUGACUGCAGAAAUCUACUUUGGUUUAAUGUCAAUCUAUGCUGAACCAGUUUUAUUUACUGACUAUUUUCGAGUUUUUAAUUCAGUCCAAAUAUGCCCCCAGAAUUCCUCCAGCCCAGAUAAUCUUAUAAAGUGCUGGAAUGGCAUCACACAAUUAUACCCAUAUUGUUUUAUCUACAGAAAUUUAAUAAGGACAGACUGUAUGCAAGGAUAUGAUCUUUAUUUCACACAAUUUAAUGAAACUUUAUCAUCAACAAACAUUGAACCAUGUGUCACUGAUAUUAGCAUGGCUGUGAGUUCCAUUUAUACAGGUUAUCGAUAUUUUGCAGGUCCUCUUAUGUUGCUAAAUGCCACGCUCUGUCUUUUACUAGUUCCAGGUUUAGAUUUCUUAUACCAACAAAAUAUAGAACUGAAUGAAUCUCAUGUGGUUUCAGGACCAAAAGAACUUCAAAGACAAAAUAUUUCUUCAUCUGUAUGAUCCUCUUUCUACAUUUGUAAAUUAUCGUUUGAAUAUGGAAAGAAAAUUUACAUUUCACAAUAAAAAUGGUCUCAUCUAGCAGACAAAAUUAAACAGAGAAGUACUGGAAAUAUAUCUCAUUAAAAUAUUUAGUACUCUCUUCUAAAUAUCCUUGUUCCCAGCUGUUAUGAAAAGACUCUCUCUCUCUUUUGGAAUGGGAGCCAAUAUAAGGGUGAUCUUAUAUUAUAUAAACACUAAGAAAAUAUAUCAGUUUUCAGAUGACAUCAGCAUAUUAAUAGCUGAAGCUAACAACAAACUGGUCUGAUAUAGAGAACAUAUUAUUUAUUUCACAUCAUGCAUGUUCUGGAUUUACAUACUGUUAAACUAAAUCAGAAUGUGCAAAAGUCAAGUGACUUCAGAUCUAUGUCAAAUUUAUAUAUCCUAUAAUAACUAAGGGAAAAUAGCUUAUUUGUUGAAAUUAAAUUCUUGAAAAGAAAGCAUCUACUUUAUUGGUCUCUAGUACUAAUUAAUGAAGUACUGAUGUUGAGGUAAUCAUUGAUUCAUUAUGUGUCGCAUGUCAUAUAUAAUAAGUUGAUACAGUUCAGAAUGUCUACAUAUAAACUAUAUCUACAUACUUAAAGUUGUCAGUUACUACCUCCAUUAUAUGUAGUAGCAUUGCCUUUGCUUCAAACUGGCCUGGUUUUGCGGAUUAUUUGAUACAUUUUAGGAAGAUUCCUUCUGAGGUAUCAAUGUCACUAUUACUGACUAGCAGUAUCGCCCGGCGUUGCUCAGGUUUGUAAGGGAAAUAACUAUAAAGCAUUUUUAGAGAGUUAUAGCCAAAAAAUGGAAAAAAAUGAUGGUAAAUUUUUUUUGAGAGUAAAAAAAGGUGGAGUUGCGUCCCCUAGACGGUUUAUGUUUCUGAUUCUCGACCCCAUGUCGAAUUUAUCGAUUUUUUUCAGAACUGAGGGAACUUUUCAAAAUUUUCGCUGCGUUAGUUUUGAAUUAUGACAUUGGGCUAUGUGUGUGUCAAGUUUCAUCAGAAUCGGUUGAAAGCCGUGGUCAGGGUGAGGGUACAAGCAAACAGACACACAGAAACACGCACAGACAAACUGCCGUUUAUAUAGAGAGAGAUAAUCAAAACUGGAUAAUUUAUUGUCAAAUGAAUAUUCUUUCACAAACCCACCAUUAUCUGAUUGGACUUUAAAACUGAUUUAUUAAAAUAAUAUUUCAUUUAUAUUUCAAAUGUUCUGAAAUUGAAAUUAUUAUUGCUCUCUCUCCCCCCCCCUCUCUCUCUUUCUCUGCCAGUGGUAAAGUGACAGAAUCAUUAAAGCAUUAGACAAAAUGCUUUGUGGUAUUAGUGUAAGCACUUAGUAUCCUGAGUUCAAAUCUUGCUGAGGUCAACUUUGCCUUUCAUCUGGGGUUGAUAAAAUAAAGUACCAACCAAGCACUGAAGUUGAUAUAAUUGAUCCAUUAACCCAAAGUUUCAGGCCUUUUAUCUGUGUUAGAAACAGCUCUAAAGACAAAAGAACUCAGUGAUCAGAAGAAUGAAUAAAAGUUGUAGGAAUUACUAAUAUAAUGGAAGGGAAGAUAGAUUGAUGGU
RNAcentral lists this long non-coding RNA (17047 nucleotides) under Octopus vulgaris (common octopus). The record is from RNAcentral. Lineage: Eukaryota; Metazoa; Mollusca; Cephalopoda; Octopoda; Octopodidae.